AACGAACGCUGGCGGCAUGCCUAACACAUGCAAGUCGAACGAGACCUUCGGGUCUAGUUGCGCACGGGUGCGUAACGCGUGGGAACCUGCCCUUAGGUUCGGAAUAACUCCCCGAAAGGGGUGCUAAUACCGGAUAAUGUCUUCGGACCAAAGAUUUAUCGCCUUUGGAUGGGCCCGCGUUGGAUUAGCUAGUUGGUAGGGUAAAAGCCUACCAAGGCGACGAUCCAUAGCUGGUCUGAGAGGAUGAUCAGCCACACUGGGACUGAGACACGGCCCAGACUCCUACGGGAGGCAGCAGUGGGGAAUAUUGGACAAUGGGCGAAAGCCUGAUCCAGCAAUGCCGCGUGAGUGAUGAAGGCCUUAGGGCUGUAAAGCUCUUUUACCCGGGAUGAUAAUGACAGUACCGGGAGAAUAAGCUCCGGCUAACUCCGUG
This 433-nucleotide ribosomal RNA is filed under the name uncultured bacterium. RNAcentral describes it as "partial 16S ribosomal RNA". It matches the Rfam family "Bacterial small subunit ribosomal RNA", at positions 29 to 507 of the family's 1533-position model. The record is from RNAcentral.